Molecule: ribosomal RNA, 634 nt
Filed under: uncultured bacterium
Lineage: Bacteria
Description: bacterial SSU rRNA
Rfam family: Bacterial small subunit ribosomal RNA
Source: RNAcentral
CUCCUACGGGAGGCAGCAGUGAGGAAUAUUGGUCAAUGGGCGCAAGCCUGAACCAGCCAUCCCGCGUGCAGGAAGACGGCCCUAUGGGUUGUAAACUGCUUUUCCAGGGGGAGAAUUUUUCUGUCGUGACAGGAAUUGACGGUACCCUGGGAAUAAGCAUCGGCUAACUCCGUGCCAGCAGCCGCGGUAAUACGGAGGAUGCGAGCGUUAUCCGGAUUUAUUGGGUUUAAAGGGUGCGUAGGCGGAUAGAUAAGUCAGUGGUGAAAACCUGCAGCUUAACUGUAGACUUGCCGUUGAUACUGUCAGUCUUGAGUAUGGUCAAGGUAGGCGGAAUGUGUAAUGUAGCGGUGAAAUGCUUAGAUAUUACACAGAACACCGAUUGCGAAGGCAGCUUACUGGGCCAUUACUGACGCUGAUGCACGAAAGCGUGGGGAUCGAACAGGAUUAGAUACCCUGGUAGUCCACGCCGUAAACGAUGAUCACUCGCUGUUAGCGAUACACAGUUAGCGGCUAAGCAAAAGCAUUAAGUGAUCCACCUGGGGAGUACGGCCGCAAGGCUGAAACUCAAAGGAAUUGACGGGGGCCCGCACAAGCGGAGGAACAUGUGGUUUAAUUCGAUGAUACGCGAGGAACC